GGUUAUGGUUCAGUGGGAGGAUGCUUACCUAGGGUGGAUGAGGACCUGGGUUCAAUCCUCAGCACCA
Molecule: transfer RNA, 67 nt
Filed under: Marmota monax (woodchuck)
Lineage: Eukaryota; Metazoa; Chordata; Mammalia; Rodentia; Sciuridae
Description: tRNA.Pro
Source: RNAcentral